RNAcentral lists this ribosomal RNA (253 nucleotides) under uncultured bacterium. RNAcentral describes it as "partial 16S ribosomal RNA". It matches the Rfam family "Bacterial small subunit ribosomal RNA", at positions 524 to 776 of the family's 1533-position model. The record is from RNAcentral.
UACGUAGGGUGCAAGCGUUAAUCGGAAUUACUGGGCGUAAAGCGUGCGCAGGCGGUUGUGCAAGACCGAUGUGAAAUCCCCGGGCUUAACCUGGGAAUGGCAUUGGUGACUGCACGGCUAGAGUGUGUCAGAGGGGGGUAGAAUUCCACGUGUAGCAGUGAAAUGCGUAGAUAUCUGGAGGAACACCGGUGGCGAAGGCGGCAUCCUGGACCGGCAUUGACGCUGAGGCGCGAAAGCCAGGGGAGCAAACGGG